GUGGGGAAUAUUGGGCAAUGGGCGAAAGCCUGACCCAGCAACGCCGCGUGAAGGAAGAAGGCUUUCGGGUUGUAAACUUCUUUUGUCAGGGACGAAAAAAAUGACGGUACCUGACGAAUAAGCCACGGCUAACUACGUGCCAGCAGCCGCGGUAAUACGUAGGUGGCAAGCGUUAUCCGGAUUUACUGGGUGUAAAGGGCGUGUAGGCGGGAAAGCAAGUCAGAUGUGAAAACUAUGGGCUCAACCCAUAGACUGCAUUUGAAACUGUUUUUCUUGAGUACUGGAGAGGCAGAUGGAAUUCCUAGUGUAGCGGUGAAAUGCGUAGAUAUUAGGAGGAACACCAGUGGCGAAGGCGAUCUGCUGGACAGCAACUGACGCUGAGGCGCGAAAGCGUGGGGAGCAAACAGGAUUAGAUACCCGGGUAGUCC
RNAcentral lists this ribosomal RNA (428 nucleotides) under uncultured bacterium. RNAcentral describes it as "partial 16S ribosomal RNA". It matches the Rfam family "Bacterial small subunit ribosomal RNA", at positions 354 to 796 of the family's 1533-position model. The record is from RNAcentral.